UGGGGAAUAUUGGACAAUGGGCGCAAGCCUGAUCCAGCCAUGCCGCGUGGGUGAAGAAGGCCUUCGGGUUGUAAAGCCCUUUGUCCGGAAAGAAAAGCUCGGGGUUAAUACCCCCGGGUUCUGACGGUACCGGAAGAAUAAGCACCGGCUAACUUCGUGCCAGCAGCCGCGGUAAUACGAAGGGUGCAAGCGUUACUCGGAAUUACUGGGCGUAAAGCGUGCGUAGGUGGUCUGUUAAGUCUGAUGUGAAAGCCCUGGGCUCAACCUGGGAAUUGCAUUGGAUACUGGCAGGCUAGAGUGCGGUAGAGGAUGGCGGAAUUCCCGGUGUAGCAGUGAAAUGCGUAGAGAUCGGGAGGAACAUCCGUGGCGAAGGCGGCCAUCUGGACCAGCACUGACACUGAGGCACGAAAGCGUGGGGAGCAAACAGGAUUAGAUACCCUGGUAGUCCACGCCCUAAACGAUGCGAACUGGAUGUUGGGAGCAACUAGGCUCUCAGUAUCGAAGCUAACGCGUUAA
This 516-nucleotide ribosomal RNA is filed under the name uncultured bacterium. RNAcentral describes it as "bacterial SSU rRNA". It matches the Rfam family "Bacterial small subunit ribosomal RNA", at positions 355 to 863 of the family's 1533-position model. The record is from RNAcentral.